Long non-coding RNA from Mastomys coucha (southern multimammate mouse), 556 nucleotides. RefSeq lists it as uncharacterized. The record is from RefSeq and is a predicted model, not a curated record. Lineage: Eukaryota; Metazoa; Chordata; Mammalia; Rodentia; Muridae. The transcript is spliced from 2 exons.
CAUUCUGAUCCUAGCAACUCCGAAUAGAUGGUCAUAGUCCUUGGAUCAGGCUGACUUGGCAUAUCAUUUCAAAGCUUGAGAGAGCUGAUGUCAGGAACAGAUCCUUCAUACCACGCUGCCACACUUCCCAUGAGUCUCCAAAGGGCCUUGUGGGCUCUACUUCUGAGUGUCCCAGCAAGACUAAGAUCAAAAGAUCAGCCACUAUUUUCUCUCCUAGCCCUUCUUUCAAGCAGAACUCAUCACUGGAGAUCUACGGAUGAACCACCUGAAAGUCCCCGAAGAUAGUAUAAAGAUGGAAUGCAUUUGGGGACACUAAGCCCUUGCAACUUAAAUUUUAAUUACAUAGUGCUGCAUAUAUUAUUCUUCAGCUGCCUUUUGAUAAUUGUGUGGUUGUGUUUCCAGGUCCAUGCACAGAAGUGUAACUCAUUUUUAUAGCUGCAUACUGCUCCAUGUUCUUAAAGAAUACUUUUUGUUACUGGAUAUGCAGAUGGUUUCCUGGGAGCUUUUGUUAAUUCUGUGGCACUAUGUAACAAUAAAGACCUCAUACACAUUCCCC